This is a long non-coding RNA of Sorghum bicolor (sorghum), 485 nucleotides long. RefSeq lists it as uncharacterized. Lineage: Eukaryota; Viridiplantae; Streptophyta; Magnoliopsida; Poales; Poaceae. The record is from RefSeq and is a predicted model, not a curated record. The transcript has 3 exons.
CGCCGACGCCCUUCCGACGCCGCGCACACCGCCUGCCGCACGCCGCCGUCAACCCUGCGCCGAGCGACCUCGCCUCACCGAGCACCCACACGCCGCCACCACACCGCCGUCAUGCACACCGGAGCCGCCCUCGCCGCCCGCCAAGAACCCUGGAGCAUCGUCGUCGGCGAGCCACUUCGUUCAAGGAGUCGGAGGAGGAUCGGACUGACGAGGAUCGGGAGUAUCGGGAGGAGUUAGGCGAUGACUACUCCGAAGGUUCUUAUGAUUCCGAGGGAUAUAGUGACUAGGGCAUUCAUGCCUUCGCUCAAGUCGAUGGAGUUUCUACCUUCCGCAUCUAUCGAGCUGUUCCGGUUGAUAAUUUCGAUUUUGUUUUUGCCAUGUGGCAAUGUAAUAAUGUAAUACUCUCUAUUCUUAAUGCUUUUGUACGAUGUAUGGAUGUUGAUUAUCAACUGGAAUUGGGUAAUUUGAUUUAUAUGGUCAUUUUA